GUAAACACGGCUGUCAAAGCAGAAGUGAGAGCGACUUGACGCCAAGAGAGAGGGAGACCCCAAAGCGGCCGCUGCCUCAGGAGGCCGUAGUCCUGGGCGCCGUCAGCCUUCCCUGAGGGCUUCGAUUGGCCCCCUCAGGGCUGCGCACUGGCCUCUUGCUACCCGCCUCACGGACCCGGUCUUGCAGCGCGUCGCCGACCCAGUUGCCUUGCUGCCAGAAUGAGCUGAGGUCUGAAAAUUGCUCAGCAGGACCAGGCAUAGCAGGGACCUCUCCUUUCAUGGUUUCACUUGCCAAUGACCACUGUCUUGAUAACUUUUUUGGAAGAAGAUGCCAUAGUUCAAGAAAACUUGCUAUACUAGGAAAAAAACAAGUGAACGCUAACCAAGAGCUUCUGCCUAUCUGAUUAAAAAAUGAGUACUCUAGGAGUUUUUCCAGUAGUCAUGUAUGGA
Long non-coding RNA from Cervus elaphus (red deer), 450 nucleotides. RefSeq lists it as uncharacterized. The record is from RefSeq and is a predicted model, not a curated record. NCBI's taxonomy places the organism in Eukaryota, Metazoa, Chordata, Mammalia, Artiodactyla, Cervidae. The transcript is spliced from 3 exons.